Molecule: ribosomal RNA, 459 nt
Filed under: uncultured bacterium
Lineage: Bacteria
Description: partial 16S ribosomal RNA
Rfam family: Bacterial small subunit ribosomal RNA
Source: RNAcentral
CCUACGGGCGGCUGCAGUGAGGAAUAUUGGUCAAUGGCCGAAAGGCUGAACCAGCCAAGUCGCGUGAAGGAAGAAUGUCCUAUGGAUUGUAAACCUCUUUUGUCAGGGGGCAAAAUCACCCCCGUGUGGGUGUUGGAGAGUACCUGAAGAAAAAGCAUCGGCUAACUCCGUGCCAGCAGCCGCGGUAAUACGGAGGAUGCGAGCGUUAUCCGGAUUUAUUGGGUUUAAAGGGUGCGUAGGCGGGUUAUCAAGUCAGCGGUAAAAUCGUGGGGCUCAACUCCAUCGAGCCGUUGAAACUGAUGAUCUUGAGAGGGCGAGAAGUAUGCGGAAUGCGCGGUGUAGCGGUGAAAUGCAUAGAGAUUACGCAGAACUCCGAUUGCGAAGGCAGCAUACCGGCGGCCGACUGACGCUGAAGCACGAAAGCGUGGGUAUCGAACAGGAUUAGAUACCCGGGUAGUC